UCUGAUUUACUUCACUUAGAAUGACCAUCUCCAGUGGCUCUGAUGGGGGCGUCAAGGGGCGCGUGGUAACGAGCUGGGUCUGCACUGAGCUGAUGCUCUGGGAUGCGCAACCUCGUGGCUGGUGGCUGGUGGCUGGUGACUGUUGGCAAACGUGACCGUUGGCAAAAGGACCCAGGACCCUGGACACACAGACGGGCUCCUGAGGCUGGAGGAGCACAGAUCCUGCUCCAGCUGCUGGACCCCUGGUGCCGACGCUGACCCCUCUCCACGCGCUGCCUCUGCCUGACCCUCCUUCCCGUGGGUUUACUGCGCGCCUCCCGCGCUGCGAUAAAUGCCUUGUUGAUCAGCACCGUCUCGUGCUCUGCUUUGUAAAAUCCAGCAAUAACGGUAGCAGCCCCCACAGGUGGCGCACCAGGCCCACCCACGAAUCCGUCCCGCCCUCAUCGCGGCGGGGGACAGGCCCCGCGUCGCUGCGUGUUUGCUGCGUGCCGGGCGGUUUGAUGGUGUCCUCAGAUCCACCGAGGGCCGAGAGUUCUUGUUCUCCUUUUAUAGAGGAGCAAACACAGAAGUUGACUGGGGUGUGGCCAAGCCGGAGUCAGUGGAGGAGGAGGAGGACUUGAAGGUACCAGGUCCUCGGCGCAGAACGGCAGACCGCCCGUCCCCCUGGGGCCUGCGGACACCCACAUCUGUGUGGCUGAGCUGUGCGGCCGGGCAGAGAGCGUGGUGAACUGAGGCACGUGCUCUGCUCAGGUAUUUGUUGGGGGCUGAAUUAUGCCCCCCAAAGUUGUAUGUUGAGGUCUUAAUUCUGGUAUUUCAGAAUGUAAAUGUACUUGGAAAUGGAGUCCUGAUGUAAUCAGCAGAUAUGAUCAGUUAAGGGGCGGUCAGGCCGGAGUAGGGUGGCCCUAAUCCCGGUGACUGCUAUCCUUGUGAGAGAGGGAAAUUCGGACGGGCCCUUCCCACGGGGAAAGCGCCACAUGGGCGUGAAGGCAGAGCAAGGACGAACAGCCAAGCCCCGGAGGCUGGAGUGGGCCGGCCCGCCUCCCCCGCAUGGCCCCAGGAGGAGCCGGCCCUGCCCGCAUCUUCGUCUCGGACUUCCGGCCUCCGGAACACAUUUCUGCCGUGUAGGCCCCUCAGUCUGAGGUGCUGUGUCAUGACAGCCCUAGCAGACCAAUGUAGUGUUCGCAUUCAGGUCCUCAGAGACACUGGUUCCUCCAAACCCAGCAGCCCGUGAUCCGUGCAUGGUCAAAGCCGGGCCGCUUCGUGGAAACGUCCGUGAACUUCCUCCCCGCACUGACCAGCCAUCUGGGGGUGGAGGGCUCCCCUUAUUUGCCUAACCACGCUUGGAAAAGAGGGGGAGGAACGUUGCUUAAACCUGGAACAGGUAUCUUCCUUCCCUUGGCCAGCAUCUGGUGCCUUUUGAAUGAUCACGAUGACACCGGCUGGUGUGAGCGCUUACUCUGCCGGGCGUGAGUCUAAAGGCCUUCUGUGAUCAGCUCCUCUAAUUCUGACAAUGACUUGUGAAUUGCUGCUGUCAUGCUCUGUUUUUCCACUUGGGGGCCUGAAGCUUGAACAAGGACUUGCUGACCAGUGCAUACGGCAUAAACAAUGUUGAUUUUAAUUUUUGCACUUGAAAAGCCCCACGGAUUAGUGUUUUGUUUUUGUUUUCCUUAUUCAGAUAAAAUAAUUCUGGCCCUUGUCUCUUGUAUUUGGUUGGGGGGAUUUGGCAUCUCAUUGAUAUUUUGAUGGUUUUGUGGACAGUGGGGAAUAUACGCUUACAUUUUUCCAUGCAUGAAAGUUGAAACCUCUUACUUAUUUUAAAAUUCGGGAUGGUGACAGAAAGGAAGCUGGAUAUAGACAAAUCAUUUAAGAACCCAGAGGCAGCUCAGGUCAUCUGCCAUAUUUAUUACAGUCUUCAGCAUCUUGUCCCAGCAAAAAUGUAAGCUACACUUUACGUAGCGAGGUAUUGUUCACAUUUGGAAUAAGGGAUGGGUUUGCCAGGAAGCUGAUGGGGGUGCUGAUCUAGAAUAUAUAUUUAGACAAUAUUUAAACAACCCAGAAACAUAGUACUUGUUUCUUGGUAUCCUGACACAAUGAACAAAAUGUAAAUUAUUAGCCCCAUUCAUGCAAAAAUAGAUUUCACUAAAAAUUCAUUGCCAUCAAUUCUAAAUAGGGUAAGAUGUUAGAUUACACUCAAGGCUUAUUGAACAUCUUAUUUUGAAUAUAAAGAGAUAUGAAUGUUUACCCAUAGAAAAGUCAUUUCUUCCCACCUUUGCUAAAUAACACGCUGGUCAAAUCUUGAAGCCUUGCUCUGCAGGGGCACCAGCGUCCUAACAUUCCUGGCAUCACCUCACUUCUCUGUCCAGCUCUGUUUUAUGUAUGAACCAGGCUGACCCCCUAGCUCUUUCUGUGUUGAUGUUUCCUCUUACCUUUCUUUUCUGAACACCUACUGCAUUCUGGGACCCCCCCAUCUCUGUUCCUCAUAUACCUGUCUUCCUAAAGCUGCUUUUGUGCCCCCGAAGAUAGCCCCAUCAACUUUCAAAUAAGGUUGCCGGAUAAAAUACAAGACAUCCAGUUAAAUGGAUACUUCUGAUGAACAACAAAUGGUUUUUUAGCAUAAGUAUGUCCCAAGCAAUAUUUAUGGCACAUCCAGAAUAUUGCAUGGGACAUACUUAUGCUAAAAAAUUAUCCAUUGUGUAUCUGAAAUUUUGUUUGCUGUAUCUGGCAACCUUGCUUGCAGAGAUAGACCUCACUAGUGGUUCUGAGUAAUUUCUUGGAAGAUAGGGGUGUGUGUGUGUGUGUGUGUGUGUGUGUGUGGUGAAACUGUAAAAUUACUGCUUGGUUGGGUACGUUAGUCUUUGGUUUAUAAUUUAACAAUAAAACCAUCUCUUUCAUUAGUGAAAACAAAAAUAUGAAUGGUCACUCCGCCGUGCAGAAUGUCUUCCCGAACAGGCCAUUACCGGACACUCGCCGUGCUUGUGAGAGGCGUUCAUCUUUCCCUGGAUUAGUGAGCACGCAGGAAGUUCACGUACAUUCUGCUUCUCCAAACCACCGGAAGCUUUCUUUUGGUUCAACCCCCACAUGCCUUCCAUUAAUUAGUACAUCACGGUGCUUAAAAGCCCUGAGCUGAAA
Non-coding RNA from Vicugna pacos (alpaca), 3129 nucleotides. The record is from RefSeq and is a predicted model, not a curated record. NCBI's taxonomy places the organism in Eukaryota, Metazoa, Chordata, Mammalia, Artiodactyla, Camelidae.